GCAGUCGAGCGCGGGAAGCAAGCAGAUCUCCUUCGGGAGUGACGCUUGUGGAACGAGCGGCGGACGGGUGAGUAACACGUGGGCAACCUACCUGUAAGACUGGGAUAACUCCGGGAAACCGGGGCUAAUACCGGAUGAAACAAAGCGUCGCAUGACGCAAUGUUAAAAGGCGGCAUAUGCUGUCACUUACAGAUGGGCCCGCGGCGCAUNAGCUAGUUGGUGAGGUAAAGGCUCACCAAGGCAACGAUGCGUAGCCGACCUGAGAGGGUGAUCGGCCACACUGGGACUGAGACACGGCCCAGACUCCUACGGGAGGCAGCAGUAGGGAAUCUUCCGCAAUGGACGAAAGUCUGACGGAGCAACGCCGCGUGAGUGAUGAAGGUUUUCGGAUCGUAAAACUCUGUUGUUAGGGAAGAACAAGUGCCAUUCGAAUAGGUUGGCACCUUGACGGUACCUAACCAGAAAGCCCCGGCUAACUACGUGCCAGCAGCCGCGGUAAUACGUAGGGGGCAAGCGUUGUCCGGAAUUAUUGGGCGUAAAGCGCGCGCAGGCGGUCCUUUAAGUCUGAUGUGAAAGCCCACGGCUUAACCGUGGAGGGCCAUUGGAAACUGGAGGACUUGAGUACAGAAGAGGAGAGUGGAAUUCCACGUGUAGCGGUGAAAUGCGUAGAGAUGUGGAGGAACACCAGUGGCGAAGGCGACUCUCUGGUCUGUAACUGACGCUAAGGUGCGAAAGCGUGGGUAGCGAACAGGAUUAGAUACCCUGGUAGUCCACGCCGUAANCGAUGAGUGCUAGGUGUUAGGGGGUUUCCGCCCCUUAGUGCUGAAGUUAACGCAUU
RNAcentral lists this ribosomal RNA (838 nucleotides) under Virgibacillus sp. RNAcentral's name for it is "bacterial SSU rRNA". It matches the Rfam family "Bacterial small subunit ribosomal RNA", at positions 39 to 861 of the family's 1533-position model. The record is from RNAcentral. Lineage: Bacteria; Bacillati; Bacillota; Bacilli; Caryophanales; Bacillaceae.